CCUUCAACCAAUCACAGAGUCUCUUCUAGAAACAUUGUGCAAAAGACCCAGACGGAGGAGGACUUUUAUUAUGACAGCGAGUAUCGCUCACUCAAAGCAAUGGCGGAAGAGCGCUAGCUUUGUACAAGUGUCUCGCUGUGUGAGGCAUGAAUCAUGUUGUUGUGGAGACAAUAGCACCAGAUUGUUACGCGGUGUGUUCAUGUGCGUCAUUAAAGGAAACCACAUCUACACCUGCCUAUGAUCUGGCUAAGCUCUCAAAUAUAGCCAGGCACUCAUGCAUCUCCAUUCACAUGCCAUGCAACCAAGCUCAUAAAUACAGCUCUGGCCUAUCUCUCUUAAAGGAGCAUACCCUCAUCCUGUGCAGAGCUUCAUUAAAGGACUACUACCAAUAUUCACCAUUACCUUCAUCAACGACUGCUCUGCUAUCCAAGUUGUGCCUCUCAUUCAGAGUUCUGUGCUGUGUGUGCUACCCUUAUAAAUACUGAAUGCUGGCUCUCUCCUAUCUAAUGUAUGUUCUCUUGUGUGCCUAAUAAACAGCUCAAGUUGG
Paramisgurnus dabryanus is the source of this 547-nucleotide long non-coding RNA. RefSeq lists it as uncharacterized. Lineage: Eukaryota; Metazoa; Chordata; Actinopteri; Cypriniformes; Cobitidae. The record is from RefSeq and is a predicted model, not a curated record.